Long non-coding RNA from Engraulis encrasicolus (European anchovy), 1558 nucleotides. RefSeq lists it as uncharacterized. The record is from RefSeq and is a predicted model, not a curated record. Lineage: Eukaryota; Metazoa; Chordata; Actinopteri; Clupeiformes; Engraulidae. The transcript is spliced from 4 exons.
AGCUGGCCUGAUAUUGUUCUUUGAUGCUGUGAAUGUGUAUGGAAUGCCUACUGUCUGGUGUCACUUCAGACAAUUUUGCUACGGUUUACUGUAUGUUCUGUCUAUCUGUCUGCCAAACUCUCAAACUUGUUGUCUGUCUUUUUGUCUUCCUCUUUGGGCACCGGCAGGCACAGUCAUUCCGGUAGUCCGUUCCUCGAUGGACGUGAUGACCUGGCACCAAAACCGCUUAAUGUGUACGGAGCUGUGUCUGCAUCGAGGGAAGAACGCGGCACUGAAAUGACACAAAUGAAAGAAGAUUACUUCUGCUCUGCUGGGUCUGUGACACUAUUUAUCCGAGGAGUCCUCAAACAUCAGGAUGUAGGAAGACACAAGUAAAAGGAGAAGAAUGCUGCUCAGCUGGGUCGGCGGCCACACUACUUAUUCAAGAAGCCCUUGGAUAUCAUCAGCAUGUAUGAAACUUGUGGUGAGAUGCCAAGAGCUGCCUUGAGGGAUAUGCAACCUGCAGCUUCACCGUGCUUUUGGGAGGUCAUCUACUACGUGAACCUUAAUAUCUACAAGCCAGCUACUUUAAAUCCUUGAAAGGGUAGUGAUGUCAAUCAAACCAGAUCACGAGACAAGGUCCUGAGGUACAAACUGUCAAUAUAAUUGCGACAUCCCUGUCAGUUCUUUUGGACUGGAUACAUGCUGUGUUUGAAAUGUAUUAUUUGGAUAACCACCCAUCAGGGAAUACCUUGUUUGUUAAUGACAGAUAGACCUGCCAUGGACAUGUAGUGCACACUUUGAUGUUUUUUUAUUUUAACGUUUUCUAUGUUUUUUCAAUGUUUUUUUAUUUAUGUUCUGUUAUAUGCUGGUUAUGUAAGUACUGUAUGGAAUGUAGUGACUGUAGAGACCAAGACAAAUUUCAACCUGGGGACAAUUAAGUUCACUCCACUCUGUUAGCGCAGUUAUGGAUGCACUGUAAAGUUUGUAAUUAACAAAAAGUACGGUGAGAAGCCUGUUUGUGCAGAUGGACCUGCUGGCGGGUCUGUUUACUCAUAGCUAAAAAGCAACAUAUUCUCUGUGCAAAGCACAUGGGCUCUUCGCAAAGGGGUUAAACAUUUUAAUGUGCUGUUUUACAGUGUGCUAUACAAAAGGUAAGGUGAAACUAAAUUUUUGAAUUUCUAUAAUUGUACAGUGUCACUGAAAUCAAAUGGUACAUUGGUAAAACAGAACCAUUUCCUUUAACCCCUUUUAGCAGACCCUAUGUUUUAACUUUACUGUCACCAAUAUUGUAAUGACUGAGUUUUAACCUGUUACUUAAAGCUCUUGGUAAUGUCAUAGCAAUGUUGCUGUGAUGUAGUUGAGUCUUUUCGGUCAUGAGUGAUCAGUCUUGCUGAUAACCCAUCUUUGCAAAGAGGCUAAAAAGAUGCAUGUAAAUUCAAUUAAGGUUUUAUUGCUUCAAUGCUAUGAUGUGUUAAUGCUACACUGCUGUGAUUUGCAUCUUUAUAGUAUACUUUUAUGAAAUGUAUUGUUAAUUAUCUACAUUGUUCAGCAAUAAAAAAAGAGAUCUGAAAUAUUA